GCCCUUGCAGAGGACCUGGUUUGAGUCCUAAGAUCUACAACCACCUAUAACUCCAGUUCCAGGGUGUAUGAACCCCUCUUCUGACUUAUGAAGUUUCCCCAGGUAUUCAUGCAUGCUUUCCCAAGAAAAGAAGGCUAGAAGGGAGACAGUAACAAGAUUCACCAACUGGGUGCAUCAGCUCAACGGUGCAGAGUGACAUGAUUCAAGAGGACAAGGAUGCUCAGCCUGGGACACCAGGGGCCUGCAGUUGAUCUUCCUGAUCCUACCUGCCCUAGCCCAGGCAUCUACCUGUCACAGUGCUUCCUCAGCUGCUCCCAAAUCAGCAGGACCAUCUCUGUCUUCAUCCACUGCAAGUAGGGGCUCAUGGAUCCUGACGUGUCCAGUACAAUGCACACAUUGCUUUCCAAGAUGGUGCCAAACAGCCUGCGGCUCCCUGCUCCAUGGUGGGUGGUAGAGGCAGGGAAGGGGUAAGAUGUUAGUUUUCCUCAUGGUAUCCACAAAAUACAGAGUCGUGAAGCA
Non-coding RNA from Myodes glareolus (Bank vole), 519 nucleotides. NCBI's taxonomy places the organism in Eukaryota, Metazoa, Chordata, Mammalia, Rodentia, Cricetidae. The record is from RefSeq and is a predicted model, not a curated record.